Molecule: long non-coding RNA, 569 nt
Filed under: Struthio camelus australis
Lineage: Eukaryota; Metazoa; Chordata; Aves; Struthioniformes; Struthionidae
Description: lncRNA (ENSSCUG00000010652.1)
Source: RNAcentral
AGCAAGCGUCACCUUUAAAAAACGGGCUGCUUGCAGAGAGCGAGGAAUCUCCCUGUGCUUGUGCUCCUAAUGAGCUUUGCAACUGCUGCCUUCAUCCCCAAUAACAGACACAACAGCCCACCGCAGAAGUAGUCCCCAGCAGAAGUUUCACCACGUAGUUACAGCAUUAUGGUUACAGCUGGAUAGGACUGCGACGUGGGUGCGGACAACCUUCCUCCCUGGGGCAUGGUGCCCCGAGGCUCCUGUUCUCAUUCCUGGUGAUAUAUAAAGCUCUGGUGUCAUACGUUCCUGCUCCUUUGUCCCAGUUCUCCCAUCAAGGCAAGCUGAAACCAAGCUUCUGCUGUUGAUUUCUGGAACACAGACACUACAGCCCUGGAAGACAAAUGGUAAGUUACAAAAUAGGGAUCAGGAUAAUUUUUUUAUAUUAGCAGCUUAUCCAGCUGUCCUGGAAAGGGUUAGAAAUUAGUCCUAAAAAAAUAACUCUGCAAUAGCUGUUAAUGAAAGUUCUUCUGUUGUACCCUUAAUUAUUUAUAUGCAUCAGGAAAUAAAUGCAUCAUGUUCACUGUCCA